Molecule: long non-coding RNA, 598 nt
Organism: Oncorhynchus tshawytscha (Chinook salmon)
Lineage: Eukaryota; Metazoa; Chordata; Actinopteri; Salmoniformes; Salmonidae
Source: Ensembl
UAAGUAGUGGGGAUGUUGAUGUACUGGCUAAACAAGCACUAAGUAGUGGGGAUGUUGAUGUACUGGCUAAACAAGCACUAGAGAUGUAGAGAUGAUAGGUUAAAGGCCUGAUAUGGACAGGGGCGGUGUAGAGAUGAUAGGUUAAAGGCCUGAUAUGGACAGUGAUGGUGUAGAGAUGAUAGGUUAAAGGCCUGAUAUGGACAGUGAUGGUGUAGAGAUGAUAGGUUAAAGGCCUGAUAUGGACAGGGGCGGUGUAGAGAUGAUAGGUUAAAGGCCUGAUAUGGACAGUGAUGGUGUAGAGAUGAUAGGUUAAAGGCCUGAUAUGGACAGUGAUGGUGUAGAGAUGAUAGGUUAAAGGCCUGAUAUGGACAGGGGCGGUGUAGAGAUGAUAGGUUAAAGGCCUGAUAUGGACAGGGGCGGUGUAGAGAUGAUAGGUUAAAGGCCUGAUAUGGACAGGGGCGGUGUAGAGAUGAUAGGUUAAAGGCCUGAUAUGGACAGUGAUGGUGUAGAGAUGAUAGGUUAAAGGCCUGAUAUGGACAGUGAUGGUGUAGAGAUGAUAGGUUAAAGGCCUGAUAUGGACAGUGAUGGUGUAGAGAUG